AGCUGUAAGUAAGCUUUGAUCCAGAGAUUUCCGAAUGGGGAAACCCAGCAUGAGUUAUGUCAUGUUAUCGAUAUGUGAAUACAUAGCAUAUCAGAAGGCACACCCGGAGAACUGAAACAUCUUAGUAACCGGAGGAAGAGAAAGAAAAUUCGAUUCCCUUAGUAGCGGCGAGCGAAACGGGAAGAGCCCAAACCAACAAGCUUGCUUGUUGGGGUUGUAGGACACUCUAUACGGAGUUACAAAGGACGACAUUAG
This 255-nucleotide ribosomal RNA is filed under the name Staphylococcus aureus. RNAcentral describes it as "partial 23S ribosomal RNA". It matches the Rfam family "Bacterial large subunit ribosomal RNA", at positions 84 to 332 of the family's 2925-position model. Lineage: Bacteria; Bacillati; Bacillota; Bacilli; Caryophanales; Staphylococcaceae. The record is from RNAcentral.